CUCGUGCCAAAAUCCACUUCCGGGCCAUGUUGUCACUCCAGUAAUGUGUUCAUGUUUUGUAAACUCCGUAAACUGAGCCUGGACUAUGAUCUGUGCAGAAUGAACAUAUUAUGAAAACAGGUACAAAAAGGUAAAGGGGUGUGUCAACUGGAUUUGAGGUGUGAAAGA
Lingula anatina is the source of this 168-nucleotide long non-coding RNA. NCBI's taxonomy places the organism in Eukaryota, Metazoa, Brachiopoda, Lingulata, Lingulida, Lingulidae. The record is from RefSeq and is a predicted model, not a curated record.